Molecule: unclassified non-coding RNA, 171 nt
Filed under: uncultured Cladophialophora
Lineage: Eukaryota; Fungi; Ascomycota; Eurotiomycetes; Chaetothyriales; Herpotrichiellaceae
Description: sequence contains ITS2
Source: RNAcentral
UCACCCCUCAAGCCCCGUGCUUGGUGUUGGACGGCCGGUCGAGCGAUCGACCCCUCCUAAAGACAACGACGGCGGCCUGCGGUUCCCCCGGUACACUGAGCUUUUAACCGAGCACGUAUCGGACCAGGGCACCCGGGACCCGGUCCUCUCCUUUAACUAGGAAACUUCUAA